Molecule: ribosomal RNA, 634 nt
Filed under: uncultured bacterium
Lineage: Bacteria
Description: bacterial SSU rRNA
Rfam family: Bacterial small subunit ribosomal RNA
Source: RNAcentral
ACACAUGCAGUCGAGCGGCAGCGGAAGUAGCUUGCUACUUUGCCGGCGAGCGGCGGACGGGUGAGUAAUGUCUGGGGAUCUGCCUGAUGGAGGGGGAUAACUACUGGAAACGGUAGCUAAUACCGCAUGACCUCGAAAGAGCAAAGUGGGGGACCUUCGGGCCUCACGCCAUCGGAUGAACCCAGAUGGGAUUAGCUAGUAGGUGGGGUAAUGGCUCACCUAGGCGACGAUCUCUAGCUGGUCUGAGAGGAUGACCAGCCACACUGGAACUGAGACACGGUCCAGACUCCUACGGGAGGCAGCAGUGGGGAAUAUUGCACAAUGGGCGCAAGCCUGAUGCAGCCAUGCCGCGUGUGUGAAGAACGCCUUCGGGUUGUAAAGCACUUUCAGCGAGGAGGAGGCAUUGUGGUUAAUAACCGCAGUGAUUGACGUUACUCGCAGAAGAAGCACCGGCUAACUCCGUGCCAGCAGCCGCGGUAAUACGGGGGUGCAAGCGUUAAUCGGAAUUACUGGGCGUAAAGCGCACGCAGCGGUUUGUUAAGUCAGAUGUGAAAUCCCCGCGCUUAACGUGGGAACUGCAUUUGAAACUGGCAAGCUAGAGUCUUGUAGAGGGGGGUAGAAUUCCAGUGUAGCG